CACGGGGGUUGCAAGCGUUGUCCGGAAUUACUGGGCGUAAAGCGUGCGCAGGCGGUUGUGUAAGACAGGUGUGAAAUCCCCGGGCUUAACCUGGGAACUGCGCUUGUGACUGCACGGCUAGAGUAUGGCAGAGGGGGGUGGAAUUCCACGUGUAGCAGUGAAAUGCGUAGAGAUGUGGAGGAACACCGAUGGCGAAGGCAGCCCCCUGGGCCAAUACUGACGCUCAUGCACGAAAGCGUGGGGAGCAAACAGG
RNAcentral lists this ribosomal RNA (253 nucleotides) under uncultured bacterium. Its description in RNAcentral is "partial 16S ribosomal RNA". It matches the Rfam family "Bacterial small subunit ribosomal RNA", at positions 524 to 776 of the family's 1533-position model. The record is from RNAcentral.